GCAAAGAUCGAGCGGACAGAUGGGAGCUUGCUCCCUGAAGUCAGCGGCGGACGGGUGAGUAACACGUGGGCAACCUGCCUGUAAGACUGGGAUAACUCCGGGAAACCGGGGCUAAUACCGGAUAACUCUUUUCCUCACAUGAGGAAAAGCUGAAAGAUGGCAUCUCGCUAUCACUUACAGAUGGGCCCGCGGCGCAUUAGCUAGUUGGUGAGGUAACGGCUCACCAAGGCCACGAUGCGUAGCCGACCUGAGAGGGUGAUCGGCCACACUGGGACUGAGACACGGCCCAGACUCCUACGGGAGGCAGCAGUAGGGAAUCUUCCGCAAUGGACGAAAGUCUGACGGAGCAACGCCGCGUGAGUGAUGAAGGUUUUCGGAUCGUAAAACUCUGUUGUCAGGGAAGAACAAGUACCGGAGUAACUGCCGGUACCUUGACGGUACCUGACCAGAAAGCCACGGCUAACUACGUGCCAGCAGCCGCGGUAAUACGUAGGUGGCAAGCGUUGUCCGGAAUUAUUGGGCGUAAAGCGCGCGCAGGCGGUUCCUUAAGUCUGAUGUGAAAGCCCCCGGCUCAACCGGGGAGGGUCAUUGGAAACUGGGGAACUUGAGUGCAGAAGAGAAGAGUGGAAUUCCACGUGUAGCGGUGAAAUGCGUAGAGAUGUGGAGGAACACCAGUGGCGAAGGCGACUCUUUGGUCUGUAACUGACGCUGAGGCGCGAAAGCGUGGGGAGCAAACAGGAUUAGAUACCCUGUAGUCCACGCCGUAAACGAUGAGUGCUAAGUGUUAGAGGGUUUCCGCCCUUUAGUGCUGCAGCAAACGCAUUAAGCACUCCGCCUGGGAGUACGGCCGCAAGGCUGAAACUCAAGGAUUGACGGGGGCCCGCACAGCGUGGAGCAUGUGUUUAAUUCGAAGCACGCGAAGAACCUUACCAGGUCUUGACAUCUCCUG
RNAcentral lists this ribosomal RNA (949 nucleotides) under uncultured prokaryote. RNAcentral's name for it is "bacterial SSU rRNA". It matches the Rfam family "Bacterial small subunit ribosomal RNA", at positions 57 to 993 of the family's 1533-position model. The record is from RNAcentral.